This is a non-coding RNA of Chiloscyllium plagiosum (whitespotted bambooshark), 1245 nucleotides long. NCBI's taxonomy places the organism in Eukaryota, Metazoa, Chordata, Chondrichthyes, Orectolobiformes, Hemiscylliidae. The record is from RefSeq and is a predicted model, not a curated record.
UAAUCUAAUCUAAUCUAAUCUACAAAAAGUCACCUGUCAGUCAUUACCCUUUGCCUGCUUCCCAUAGGCUAAUUUUGUGGGCCAUACUCUUUCCUUCGUUAUCCUCUUCCUCCUAAUAAAUUGAUGAAACAUCUUUUGGUUCAUCUUGUGGUUGUUUGCCAAUAUUCUUUCCUGCUUUCUGCUUUCCUUUAUGGUUUCACCCAUCCACUUUGUAUAUUCUGCUGGUUUUACAGGUGAGUGAGUUCUCUGUGUCGGAUGUGUUUUUAACUUUUCUGGCUUCUCUUGUCCUGUAAGCUUCUCAUCAAUCAGGGGGCUCUUCUGUCAUCCCUCCCAUUUGUUUGUGACUCUGAAUUCCUUGAAACUCCCAUUUGAUUCCCUCGACUGCCUUGACACUGAUUUGACUUCAAGUAGCUGUUUCCAGUCCACUUUUUCAGAACUGCUCCUCAGUUUAGUAAAAUUUUGCCUCACACCAAUUUAAAGUAUAAGUCCUGUCCUAUAUUUGUCCAUGUCACAAUUAUUUUAAAGUUAAUUGAAUUAUUAUCACUGACAUCAAAAUGCUCUCCCACUGAUACUCUGACCUGAGAUUUAAUCCUAAACUGCGCCCUUUCUUGUUGAAUUUAUUAUUUUGGCAAGAAACAUUCUCCUCAGUAGAUUUUGAGAAUUCUGCUCCCAACAUUGCUUUCACAGUAUUUCUAUCCCACCUAAAAUCCCAACCAUUUCUCUGAGAAUUCUAGACAUACUAGUUUUACUACCUCUCUUGCCUGUUUAGGGUUCUGUAAUACGCUCCCAGCAGAGUGACAUUCCCUUUUAUGAUUCUCAGCUCAAACAACCUCAUUUGAUGAUCCUUUUCCAUUCCAUCCUUCCUCACAGCUGACAUUGUUUUUCUAACUAAAAUUGUCACCCUGUCCUCCUCUAUCCUCCUCUCUACCAUAUCUAAAAACUCUACAACUAGUAUCAUUGAGUGCCAAUUCUGUGCUUCUUUAAACUAAGAUACAACUACCACGUUUCCUUUAUGUGCUGCACUCCUUGCAUUCACGUCCAUACCCUUGAACACUGCUAAACUCUCUGUUUUAAUUCUCUAGUCUUUAUUUCCCCUCCCUUCCAUUUCUGCCUGUGUCCCAUUUGAGUUCACCACGUUUCCACCUGUCAAACUAGAUCAUUAGUCUAUUGAUCUAGUUAUAGAGUCAUAGAAUCCUAGAGAUGUACAGCACAGUUACAGACACUUUGGUCCAACUCCUCCAGGCC